Molecule: transfer RNA, 76 nt
Filed under: Candidatus Cloacimonadota bacterium
Lineage: Bacteria; Pseudomonadati; Candidatus Cloacimonadota
Description: tRNA-Glu
Rfam family: tRNA
About the family: Transfer RNA (tRNA) molecules are approximately 80 nucleotides in length. Their secondary structure includes four short double-helical elements and three loops (D, anti-codon, and T loops).
Source: RNAcentral
GCUUCCGUCGUCUAGAGGCCAAGGACCCUGGGUUUUCAUCUCAGUAACGCUGGUUCGAAUCCAGUCGGAAGUGCCA